UGCAAGUCGAGCGGGGGUUGUUUAGAAGCUUGCUUCUAAACAACCUAGCGGCGGACGGGUGAGUAACACGUAGGCAACCUGCCCACAAGACAGGGAUAACUACCGGAAACGGUAGCUAAUACCCGAUACAUCCUUUUCCUGCAUGGGAGAAGGAGGAAAGACGGAGCAAUCUGUCACUUGUGGAUGGGCCUGCGGCGCAUUAGCUAGUUGGUGGGGUAAAGGCCUACCAAGGCGACGAUGCGUAGCCGACCUGAGAGGGUGAUCGGCCACACUGGGACUGAGACACGGCCCAGACUCCUACGGGAGGCAGCAGUAGGGAAUCUUCCGCAAUGGGCGAAAGCCUGACGGAGCAACGCCGCGUGAGUGAUGAAGGUUUUCGGAUCGUAAAGCUCUGUUGCCAGGGAAGAACGUCUUGUAGAGUAACUGCUACAAGAGUGACGGUACCUGAGAAGAAAGCCCCGGCUAACUACGUGCCAGCAG
RNAcentral lists this ribosomal RNA (480 nucleotides) under Paenibacillus sp. RNAcentral describes it as "bacterial SSU rRNA". It matches the Rfam family "Bacterial small subunit ribosomal RNA", at positions 56 to 514 of the family's 1533-position model. The record is from RNAcentral. Lineage: Bacteria; Bacillati; Bacillota; Bacilli; Caryophanales; Paenibacillaceae.